RNAcentral lists this long non-coding RNA (239 nucleotides) under Setaria viridis. Its description in RNAcentral is "long non-coding RNA (SVIR_LNC010845)". Lineage: Eukaryota; Viridiplantae; Streptophyta; Magnoliopsida; Poales; Poaceae. The record is from RNAcentral.
UCAGGCCUUACCACAGGCUUGUCUAGCUCAAAGGUCCAUCUCGGUUCAAUUGACGGUGCAGCUGGCAGCUCAACUUGCCCUAGACAUUCAUCAACUCCCAUACCUGUUUCUUUCAUGAAUUGCAAUACUUGUGCUUGUUGAUCCAAGGGCAUUGCUGCUAUCUUUUUAGCAUUGUUUUUUGGUAGAUGCCCGAGGUCGGGGACAACACCACUAGAAGAUGACUUUCCUUUCCUUUUUUC